UCAGCCGCGUGAAAUAGUUUCACGGACAGUUCAUUCUGUGAUUUGAUUUCGUCCACAGGUCAAAUUUGUCAAAUUGCCCUAUUUUACCUGCCUUUUACCCGCAGUCCUCCUAAUAAGUCGAACCUUAACAGUUACGGACGAGAGAAAAAAAAACGCAGCCGCCCGCACGGCCCAUCCUCCUGAUCCCAUAUCGACUCCUGCGCGCCGCCACCUCCUGCCCCGCCUCACCGCACGCCGCACACCGCCGCCCCCCAGCCCCUCGUCGCGGCUCUCCACCGGACUGCCCUUGUCGCCGCGCUCCUCCGGACCGCCCCCCCUCGCCGUGCGCCGCCACCUCCUACCGUCGCCGUGCUCCGCCACCGCCUACCCCGCCGGCGCGCCUACUCCCACCCAAGUGCCCCCACACCCGCGGCCUUCCACCGCCGGCAACUCUCGACGUCAGGGGUUGGGGAGGCGGAUUCGGGGGCGGGCGACGCGGCGGGGGUCGCCGGUGACGACGAUGAAGGCAGGCAUAAUUUUUUCCCCGACCCCUGCGAACCCUAGCAGCCGCACAAACGUCACCCCGCCGCCGGCCAUGGGGUCGUUUCCCCGCGCCUCCUCUUCUCCCUCUGCUCCAGGCCCCCUCUCUCGCGCUGCUAGGAGUAGUGGUCUCUAGCAGCUGCCCUCCCCUCAGUCAUCGCAUCAAUCUCCUGCUCCAUCUCUCUCCAACAUCCCCGCUCUCCUCUCGCAUCACACACAGGCGGUGGCUAUGCAUAUCUGGCCGGGUGUGGCGUGUGUGGCAUCUGUGACGUGCUUCGGCCCGCCGGUUGUCCCUGAUGUGUGCGGCUGGAUGUGCGUCCCUGUUCAUGUGUGUGGCGCUUUACAUGCAGAGGAAGUGAAUGCUUGCAAGCAGAGGAAGCUGUUGGCCGUUGGCAAAGGAGGAUUAGGAUAGUUCUCUUGAUCUUGGAGCUUCAAGACACCAAGUACCAUUGCAACUUUCAUUUAUCUGUUGUGUGAACCAAUCUGUGAUGGCUUCUAAACGCACUUGGCUGGAACAGAGCAAUUUUCUGUAGUCUUCGGCGACGAUGUGGUGCUGCACUGCUGCUCUCUUACUGCUAGCUUGCUACUUCUAGCUGAAUUUUGCUAUUGCUGCUAGCUGAAUUUUGCAUAGGCAUGGCAAGCUGUUUGGUACGUAUACAAAUGCUGUUAUUUUUGUUAUUGCUCACACCCGGCCGCCCACGCUCACGGCCAGUGCUGCAGAUUUCGUGGCUGGCCAGCUUAUCCUCAAUGUGUUCUGACUCGGAGGUCGGAGUUGAAGCUGACGACAGACUCAAGCACUCCACCAUAUUCUUAGUAUUGCAUACCGUCACCGCUGAGGGGUUAGCCAAGCUGCUUUUAAAAGUCAUAUAACAAUUAAGUGCUAGAUAUUGUCACAGAUAGAUUUUGAUGGAUAGGAAUUUAAUAAGCUACAAAGCAGUGUAGGUCGAGAUGAACAGAGAAUGGUAUGCAUAAUGUGUAACAAUAUUUGAUACAGUUGCAUUGACAGGUCUGGGCUCGUUGGAGGGUUGUAUGCUUUUGAUUGAUUAAGCUUAACACUUCUGCUCACUCAUUAUUUACUCUGUAUUCAUCAAAAAAUAUUUAUUUUGUACUAUAUCAUAGCAUGUUCGACGGACAGAGGCAGAGACGGCCAUGGUUCUAGCUGAUAGCACUUGAUAACUUAAGAACUCUACAUACCUUUUAUCUAACUAAAAGAGAGUUUCUUGCCAACUAUUGAGCCUACAAGUUUUAGAUCUAUGUCUCUAAAGCCACUACUCAACUUCAUGUCGGUACUUUUCUGUAGAGUAUACCUCCAUAAUUCUCCAUCUAAGAUAGUACUAAAGUUUAUUGAUGAUGCUUAGUUUCAGGAUAUGCCUUACAAGCCAUCCAUGUGAGAAAUCCAAGGGGUUCAAGGCGUAUUGAAAAGGAGCUGGAGUAGGUAGGUGGUGGAUUGAGGAAGGAUCUGGAGCAGAGGCGGAAUCGAGGCUGCCCCUACGUGCGCUAAGGUGCUGCAAGGCGCCUGCGAUCCAGACACUGCUAUGUUUUCUCCUUCUCUUCAGGUAAGCCCUCAGCAGCACCUCCCGUACCCCCUCCAUCCGAAUUCAGCAGCGCACAACGACAGCGGUAGCCGACGUCCUCCUCAUCCAUGACACUCCCAACUUUUUUGCUUGUUACAACCCAUAUCAUACACGGUUCUGCAUUGUGGUGUGUGUGCCAAAGUUCAAAAUUGCAUAAGUUCUUGGAGGACGGGAAAGAACAUAAAAUUUAUGUUUUCAGUCACAAGUCUGCUCCCCAUUGUGGAUAGCGUCAAACGGAAUGUGGUGAACAGGUGCGAGACAGAAUUUAGUGGAGAUGCAAGAUGAAAGAUGGAACAUGAUGCUUCAAAUCAGCAUAAUUAUAAGGAUUACUAAAUUUCUCAGGGAAAUCAAUGCAACGGUGAUAAAUAUAUGUAAUUGCAUUUUUUUCCGGGAAUAUGUAAUUGCAUGUAUAGCAUCUGUUUUGAACUGUAUUUUAUAUGCCAUUUAUGUAUCAUGGUGGAACACAAAAUUUAAAUAGAAAAGAAUAGCAGUAACUAAUGUAUAUCUUGCAAUUUCAGAUAUAUAUCUAUGCGACUAUGCUUAUCUAAAGUACAUACAAUGCAUACUGUGGAAUCAUACAUCAAAUAUUCAUACUUAACUAAAUAUUCUGCAAGUUUUGUUUGCCGCUGCUUGGUCAAGAAAAGCCUAUUGCUCGCCACUAUGUGCGGUUCUCUGCCAUUUCAUGGGGUGCAACCGGAAGUGGCACAAGACUCUAGUUGUGUCGUGCUUAAAUUUACUGAUGUUGAUGUUUCUUUUCAAGAUUGUAGUAUUGUUUACCAUUUUGGUCCCCGGGUUAUGUACUCAUUUCCUUUUCUAUUAUUUGUAAGUAAUUUGCUUCGGUUCAUCGAACUACCUGCUGAAAUAUGUGUAUUAUUUCUCAAUAUAUUGGGCAUCAAUCCACCUCUCA
Aegilops tauschii subsp. strangulata is the source of this 3000-nucleotide long non-coding RNA. RefSeq lists it as uncharacterized. Lineage: Eukaryota; Viridiplantae; Streptophyta; Magnoliopsida; Poales; Poaceae. The record is from RefSeq and is a predicted model, not a curated record.